UUUUUGGACGGGAAAAUAGAUACAAUUUACCGUCUGGUCCAUGGCACUGUUCCCUCAAAGAAAAGCAUUCGUGCAACACCAUACUGUACAAAGGGCAUCUGAAAAUGAGGGAUGGGGACUGCCUUGGCCAGUCAAGCGUUCAUCGCGACGUUGCUUUUUGAUCCUUCGAUGUCAGCUCUUCCUAUCAUACUGAAGCAGAAUUCAGUAAGCGUUGGAUUGUUCACCCACUAAUAGGGAACGUGAGCUAGGUUUAGACCUUCGUAAGACAGGUUAGUUUUACCCAACUGAUGAAAUGUUGUUGCGAUAGUAAUUGAACUUAUUACGGGAGGAACCGUUCAUUCGGAUGAUUGGUAUUUGGGCCUGCCUGAGCAUGCAAUGGCCCGAAGCCAUCAUACGUUGGGUUAUGCCGGAACGACUCCAUGCCAGACCGUGCUAGAACGCGAAGAUUACCACCUUUCGAUUUUUAGUUGAAUACGAAUAGACCUACCAUCCAGAAUCAUACGAACGUGGGGUUGUCUUGCAGAGCGGAGAGGCUUUGUGACAUUUCCACUAAUGUUAAUUUCAAAUAUUGUCAAGGAUAAAUCCGUUGCAGACGACUUUAAUUGAACGGGGUAUUGUAAGCAGUAGAGUAGCCUUGUUGCUACGACCUGCAGAGAUUCAGCCCAUUGUUCUAUAGAUUU
This 680-nucleotide non-coding RNA is filed under the name Linnemannia elongata AG-77. RNAcentral's name for it is "Mortierella elongata AG-77 Eukaryotic large subunit ribosomal RNA". It matches the Rfam family "Eukaryotic large subunit ribosomal RNA", at positions 2776 to 3399 of the family's 3401-position model. The record is from Rfam by way of RNAcentral. Lineage: Eukaryota; Fungi; Mortierellomycota; Mortierellomycetes; Mortierellales; Mortierellaceae.